RNAcentral lists this ribosomal RNA (593 nucleotides) under uncultured Candidatus Poseidoniales archaeon. RNAcentral describes it as "bacterial SSU rRNA". It matches the Rfam family "Archaeal small subunit ribosomal RNA", at positions 1 to 600 of the family's 1478-position model. Lineage: Archaea; Methanobacteriati; Thermoplasmatota; Candidatus Poseidoniia; Candidatus Poseidoniales. The record is from RNAcentral.
UUCUGGUUGAUCCUGCCGGAGGCUACCGCUAUUGGAGUUCGAUUAAGCCAUGCGAGUCGAGAGUCUUAGGGACUCGGCGUACCGCUCAGUAACACGUGGGUAACCUGCCCUAUGCUGGGGAAUAACCUCGGGAAACUGAGAAUAAUACCUCAUAGUCCACAAUGCCUGGAACGGUUUGUGGAUUAAAGCCCCGGCGGCAUAGGAUGGGCCUGCGGCGUAUCAGGUUGUAGGGGGUGUAACGUACCCUCUAGCCAUCAACACGUACGGGUGUUGGGAGACAUAGCCCGGAGAUGGAUUCUGAGACACGAAUCCAGACCCUACGGGGUGCAGCAGGCGCGAAAACUUGGCAAUGCGAGAAAUCGUGACCAGGGAACUCCAAGUGGCUGGGGUAAGACCCAGUCUUUUCUUGACUCUUCAAAGGUCUUGGAAUAAGAGGUGGGUAAGGACGGUGCCAGCCGCCGCGGUAAUACCGGCGCCUCAAGUGGUAGUCGAUUUUAUUGGGCCUAAAACGUCCGUAGCCUGUUUGGUACAUUCGUGGGUAAAUCAACCAGCUUAACUGGUUGAAUUCUGCGAGCACGGCCAGACUUGGGACC